GAUGAACGCUGGCGGCGUGCUUAACACAUGCAAGUCGAACGGAAAGGCCCAAGCUUGCUUGGGUACUCGAGUGGCGAACGGGUGAGUAACACGUGGGUGAUCUGCCCUGCACUUCGGGAUAAGCCUGGGAAACUGGGUCUAAUACCGGAUAGGACGAUGUUUUGGAUGCCAUUGUGGAAAGUUUUUUCGGUGUGGGAUGAGCUCGCGGCCUAUCAGCUUGUUGGUGGGGUAAUGGCCUACCAAGGCGUCGACGGGUAGCCGGCCUGAGAGGGUGUACGGCCACAUUGGGACUGAGAUACGGCCCAGACUCCUACGGGAGGCAGCAGUGGGGAAUAUUGCACAAUGGGCGCAAGCCUGAUGCAGCGACGCCGCGUGGGGGAUGACGGCCUUCGGGUUGUAAACUCCUUUCGCUAGGGACGAAGCGUUUUUGUGACGGUACCUGGAGAAGAAGCACCGGCUAACUACGUG
Molecule: ribosomal RNA, 468 nt
Filed under: uncultured bacterium
Lineage: Bacteria
Description: partial 16S ribosomal RNA
Rfam family: Bacterial small subunit ribosomal RNA
Source: RNAcentral